RNAcentral lists this ribosomal RNA (253 nucleotides) under uncultured bacterium. RNAcentral's name for it is "partial 16S ribosomal RNA". It matches the Rfam family "Bacterial small subunit ribosomal RNA", at positions 524 to 776 of the family's 1533-position model. The record is from RNAcentral.
UACAGAGGUGGCGAGCGUUAUUCGGAAUUAUUGGGCGUAAAGGGCGCGUAGGCGGCUAGGCAAGUCCUGGGUGAAAUCCCUCGGCUCAACCGAGGAACUGCCUUGGAAACUGCCUGGCUCGAGGCCGGGAGAGGGUAGCGGAAUUCCCAGUGUAGCGGUGAAAUGCGUAGAUACUGGGAGGAACACCAGUGGCGAAGGCGGCUACCUGGACCGGUUCUGACGCUGAGGCGCGAAAGCGUGGGGAGCAAACGGG